RNAcentral lists this ribosomal RNA (468 nucleotides) under uncultured bacterium. RNAcentral's name for it is "partial 16S ribosomal RNA". It matches the Rfam family "Bacterial small subunit ribosomal RNA", at positions 28 to 507 of the family's 1533-position model. The record is from RNAcentral.
GACGAACGCUGGCGGCGUGCUUAACACAUGCAAGUCGAACGGAAAGGCACUACUUUUGUGGGGUGCUCGAGUGGCGAACGGGUGAGUAACACGUGUGUAACCUGACCUUGUCUUUGGGGUAACUUAAGGUAACUGGGGCUACUCUCGGAUAGGAGCCCCCGCUGCGUGGGGGGGGUUGGAAAGUUUAGGCGGUCGUGGUUGGAUUGGCGGCUUUUGAGUUAGUUGGUGGGGUAGUGGCUUACCCAGGGUUUGACGGGUAGGCCGCAUGGGAGGGUGACCAGCCACAUUGGGACUACGAGAGGGACCAGUCGCCUACGGGAGACAGCAGUGGGGAAUAUGGCACAAUGGGCGGAAGCGGGAUGCAGCGACGCCGCGGGCGUGAUGACGGCCUUCGGGUAAAAAACCGCAUUCGCCUGAUACGAAGCGGGAGUGACGGUAAUGAAUGAAGAAGCACCGGCUAACUACGUG